GACGAACGCUGGCGGCGUGGAUUAGGCAUGCAAGUCGCGCGACGGUCUUCCUUCGGGGAGAUACGGAGCGGCGAACGGGCGAGUAACACGUGAGGAACCUGUCCCUACUUUCCGGAUAAUUGGCCGAAAGGCCUUGUAAUACGGGGGAGGGUCUUUGGUGGGCAUCCACUAAAGAAGGAAGGCGCAAGCCGAGCAGGGAGGGUCUCGCGGCCUAUCAGCUUGUUGGUGGGGUAAAGGCCUACCAAGGCGACGACGGGUAGCUGGUCUGAGAGGACGACCAGCCACACUGGAACUGAGACACGGUCCG
Molecule: ribosomal RNA, 307 nt
Filed under: uncultured bacterium
Lineage: Bacteria
Description: bacterial SSU rRNA
Rfam family: Bacterial small subunit ribosomal RNA
Source: RNAcentral